GACCUCUUAGCUAAGUGGUAUAGCGUCGCAUUCCAGUUAAGGAGUGGGUGUCGCGAAGGUCGUCCGUUCGAUCCGGGCAGAGGUCA
Mycena sp. CBHHK59/15 is the source of this 86-nucleotide non-coding RNA. The record is from the annotation of a GenBank genome assembly. NCBI's taxonomy places the organism in Eukaryota, Fungi, Basidiomycota, Agaricomycetes, Agaricales, Mycenaceae.